This 253-nucleotide ribosomal RNA is filed under the name uncultured bacterium. RNAcentral describes it as "partial 16S ribosomal RNA". It matches the Rfam family "Bacterial small subunit ribosomal RNA", at positions 524 to 776 of the family's 1533-position model. The record is from RNAcentral.
UACGAAGGGAGCUAGCGUUGUUCGGAAUUACUGGGCGUAAAGGGCGCGUAGGCGGUUUGACAAGUUGGAUGUGAAAGCCCUGGGCUCAACCCGGGAAUUGCAUUCAAGACUGUUUUACUUGAAUUCGGUAGAGGUUGGUGGAAUUCCCAGUGUAGAGGUGAAAUUCGUAGAGAUUGGGAAGAACACCCGUGGCGAAGGCGGCCAACUGGACCGACAUUGACGCUGAGGCGCGAAAGCGUGGGGAGCAAACAGG